GAUGAACGCUGGCGGCGUGCCUAAUACAUGCAAGUAGAACGCUGAAGGAAGGAGCUUGCUCUUUCCGGAUGAGUUGCGAACGGGUGAGUAACGCGUAGGUAACCUGCCUGGUAGCGGGGGAUAACUAUUGGAAACGAUAGCUAAUACCGCAUAACAGUAGAUGUUGCAUGAUAUCUACUUAAAAGGUGCAAUUGCGCCACUACCAGAUGGACCUGCGUUGUAUUAGCUAGUUGGUGAGGUAACGGCUCACCAAGGCGACGAUACAUAGCCGACCUGAGAGGGUGAUCGGCCACACUGGGACUGAGACACGGCCCAGACUCCUACGGGAGGCAGCAGUAGGGAAUCUUCGGCAAUGGACGGAAGUCUGACCGAGCAACGCCGCGUGAGUGAAGAAGGUUUUCGGAUCGUAAAGCUCUGUUGUAAGAGAAGAACGAGUGUGAGAGUGGAAAGUUCACACUGUGACGGUAUCUUACCAGAAAGGGACGGCUAACUACGUG
Molecule: ribosomal RNA, 497 nt
Filed under: uncultured bacterium
Lineage: Bacteria
Description: partial 16S ribosomal RNA
Rfam family: Bacterial small subunit ribosomal RNA
Source: RNAcentral